RNAcentral lists this ribosomal RNA (479 nucleotides) under Fusarium solani. RNAcentral's name for it is "eukaryotic LSU rRNA". The stretch from base 113 to 266 matches the Rfam family "5.8S ribosomal RNA". The record is from RNAcentral. Lineage: Eukaryota; Fungi; Ascomycota; Sordariomycetes; Hypocreales; Nectriaceae.
CAUACCUAAACGGCGGGAACAGACGGCCCCGUGAAACGGGCCGCCCCCGCCAGAGGACCCCUAACUCUGUUUCUAUAAUGUUUCUUCUGAGUAAAACAAGCAAAUAAAUUAAAACUUUCAACAACGGAUCUCUUGGCUCUGGCAUCGAUGAAGAACGCAGCGAAAUGCGAUAAGUAAUGUGAAUUGCAGAAUUCAGUGAAUCAUCGAAUCUUUGAACGCACAUUGCGCCCGCCAGUAUUCUGGCGGGCAUGCCUGUUCGAGCGUCAUUACAACCCUCAGGCCCCCGGGCCUGGCGUUGGGGAUCGGCGGAGCCCCCCGUGGGCACACGCCGUCCCCCAAAUACAGUGGCGGUCCCGCCGCAGCUUCCAUCGCGUAGUAGCUAACACCUCGCGACUGGAGAGCGGCGCGGCCACGCCGUAAAACACCCAACUCUUCUGAAGUUGACCUCGAAUCAGGUAGGAAUACCCGCUGAACUUAAG